Sorex fumeus (smoky shrew) is the source of this 104-nucleotide small nuclear RNA. Lineage: Eukaryota; Metazoa; Chordata; Mammalia; Eulipotyphla; Soricidae. The record is from RefSeq and is a predicted model, not a curated record.
GUGCUUGCUUCAGCAGCACAUAUACUAAAAUUGGAAUGAUACAAAGAUUAGCAUGACUCCUGAGCAAGAAUGACACACAAAUUCACGAAGCGUUCCACAUUUAA